CUACGGGGGGCACCAGUGGGGAAUAUUGGACAAUGGGGGAAACCCUGAUCCAGCAAUGCCGCGUGUGUGAAGGAGGCCUGCGGGUUGUAAAGCACUUUCGGUUGGGAGGACUGCUUCUAGCACUAAUAUUGUUGGAAGUUGACGUUACCUUCAGAAGAAGCACCGGCUAACUCCAGUGCCAGCAGCCGCGGUAAUACGGAGGGUGCAAGCGUUAAUCGGAAUUACUGGGCGUAAAGCGCGCGUAGGCGGCUAGAUCAGUCGGGUGUGAAAGCCCCGGGCUUAACCUGGGAACUGCACCCGAUACUGUCUAGCUUGAGUACAGGAGAGGAGAGUGGAAUUCCACAUGUAGCGGUGAAAUGCGUAGAUAUGUGGAGGAACACCAAUGGCGAAGGCAGCUCUCUGGCCUGAUACUGACGCUGAGGUGCGAAAGCGUGGGGAGUAAACAGGAUUAGAUACCCCAGUAGUC
Molecule: ribosomal RNA, 466 nt
Filed under: uncultured bacterium
Lineage: Bacteria
Description: partial 16S ribosomal RNA
Rfam family: Bacterial small subunit ribosomal RNA
Source: RNAcentral